Molecule: ribosomal RNA, 429 nt
Filed under: Bacteroidota bacterium
Lineage: Bacteria; Pseudomonadati; Bacteroidota
Description: Bacteroidetes bacterium partial 16S ribosomal RNA
Rfam family: Bacterial small subunit ribosomal RNA
Source: RNAcentral
UAGGGAAUCUUCCGCAAUGGGCGAAAGCCUGACGGAGCAACGCCGCGUGAGUGAUGAAGGUCUUCGGAUCGUAAAACUCUGUUAUUAGGGAAGAACAAAUGUGUAAGUAACUAUGCACAUCUUGACGGUACCUAAUCAGAAAGCCACGGCUAACUACGUGCCAGCAGCCGCGGUAAUACGUAGGUGGCAAGCGUUAUCCGGAAUUAUUGGGCGUAAAGCGCGCGUAGGCGGUCAAUUAAGUCUGAUGUGAAAGCCCCCGGCUCAACCGGGGAGGGUCAUUGGAAACUGGUUGACUUGAGUGCAGAAGAGGAGAGUGGAAUUCCAUGUGUAGCGGUGAAAUGCGUAGAUAUAUGGAGGAACACCAGUGGCGAAGGCGACUCUCUGGUCUGUAACUGACGCUGAGGCUCGAAAGCGUGGGUAGCAAACAGG